AGCGAACGCUGGCGGCGUGCCUAAUACAUGCAAGUCGAACGCGAAAGUCCUUCGGGAUGAGUAAAGUGGCGCACGGGUGAGUAAUGCAUGAGAACAUGCCCUUAGAUGGGGAAUAACGUUUGGAAACGAACGCUAAUACCGCAUAAUCUCGAGAGAGUAAAGGUGGCGCCGCAAGGGCUACCGUCUAAGGAUUGGCUCAUGUCCCAUUAGCUAGUUGGCGGGGUAAUGGCCCACCAAGGCAACGAUGGGUAUGUGGUCUGAGAGGAUGAUCACACACACUGGAACUGAGACACGGUCCAGACUCCUACGGGAGGCAGCAGUAGGGAAUAUUGCACAAUGGGGGAAACCCUGAUGCAGCAACGCCGCGUGAGUGAAGAAGGCCCUUGGGUCGUAAAGCUCUUUAGCGAGGGAAGAGGGUAGAUACGGUGAAUAAUCGUGUUUGCUGACGGUACCUCGAGAAUAAGCACCGGCUAAUUUCGUGCCAGCAGCCGCCGUAA
RNAcentral lists this ribosomal RNA (497 nucleotides) under uncultured bacterium. RNAcentral's name for it is "partial 16S ribosomal RNA". It matches the Rfam family "Bacterial small subunit ribosomal RNA", at positions 29 to 523 of the family's 1533-position model. The record is from RNAcentral.